RNAcentral lists this transfer-messenger RNA (357 nucleotides) under Thermoanaerobaculia. RNAcentral describes it as "UBA5704 sp002420005 Standard tmRNA". It matches the Rfam family "transfer-messenger RNA". Rfam says of the family: Bacterial tmRNA, also known as 10Sa RNA or SsrA, is named for its dual tRNA and mRNA-like properties. Its role is to liberate the mRNA from a stalled ribosome. The record is from RNAcentral. RNAcentral also lists the same sequence under 1 other name. Lineage: Bacteria; Pseudomonadati; Acidobacteriota.
GGGGGUGUACCGGUCUCGACGGGGAACACAGCGGAUCGCGGGUCGCGUGUCGAGUUUCCGCUCGGUCAAACGGAAAAAACAUAACUGCGAACGACAACUUCGCUCUCGCGGCCUAAUUAAACGGCCGUGACGUCCCCCAGAGUGCCCUGAUCUACGGCGCUCUGACGGGAUGCCACUUGAAGUAGAUCAAAAGGUGCGGGACGCCCGGUGCCGCACCCGGAUUGAACCGGGCUGGCCGCCCGCGCCGGUGGCCUUCUUCCAAAGCGCGGGCGGUGAGAUUGCAAACAGAGGGCUACGCACGUAGAAGCUCUCGGACGCGUUUCUCGGACGUGGGUUCGACUCCCACCACCUCCACCA